UACGUAGGGGGCUAGCGUUGUCCGGAUUUAUUGGGCGUAAAGAGCGUGUAGGCGGCCAGGUAGGUCUGCUGUGAAAACUCGAGGCUCAACCUCGAGAUGUCGGCGGAAACCAUCUGGCUAGAGUCCGGAAGAGGAAAGUGGAAUUCCUGGUGUAGCGGUGAAAUGCGCAGAUAUCAGGAAGAACACCUAUGGCGAAGGCAGCUCUCUGGGACGGUACUGACGCUGAGACGCGAAAGCGUGGGGAGCGAACAGG
RNAcentral lists this ribosomal RNA (253 nucleotides) under uncultured bacterium. RNAcentral's name for it is "partial 16S ribosomal RNA". It matches the Rfam family "Bacterial small subunit ribosomal RNA", at positions 524 to 776 of the family's 1533-position model. The record is from RNAcentral.